CCUACGGGAGGCAGCCGUGGGGAAUUUUGGACAAUGGGCGAAAGCCUGAUCCAGCAAUGCCGCGUGCAGGAUGAAGGCCUUCGGGUUGUAAACUGCUUUUGUACGGAACGAAACGGUUCGCCUUAAUACGGUGGGCUAAUGACGGUACCGUAAGAAUAAGCACCGGCUAACUACGUGCCAGCAGCCGCGGUAAUACGUAGGGUGCGAGCGUUAAUCGGAAUUACUGGGCGUAAAGCGUGCGCAGGCGGUUAUAUAAGACAGAUGUGAAAUCCCCGGGCUCAACCUGGGACCUGCAUUUGUGACUGUAUAGCUAGAGUACGGUAGAGGGGGAUGGAAUUCCGCGUGUAGCAGUGAAAUGCGUAGAUAUGCGGAGGAACACCGAUGGCGAAGGCAAUCCCCUGGACCUGUACUGACGCUCAUGCACGAAAGCGUGGGGAGCAAACAGGAUUAGAUACCCUGGUAGUCCACGCCCUAAACGAUGUCAACUGGUUGUUGGGUCUUCACUGACUCAGUAACGAAGCUAACGCGUGAAGUUGACCGCCUGGGGAGUACGGCCGCAAGGUUGAAACUUCAAAGGAAUUGACGGCNGNGAGNGCGAGGACGACGACGAGGGAGGAGG
Molecule: ribosomal RNA, 619 nt
Filed under: uncultured bacterium
Lineage: Bacteria
Description: bacterial SSU rRNA
Rfam family: Bacterial small subunit ribosomal RNA
Source: RNAcentral